This 483-nucleotide ribosomal RNA is filed under the name uncultured bacterium. RNAcentral's name for it is "partial 16S ribosomal RNA". It matches the Rfam family "Bacterial small subunit ribosomal RNA", at positions 355 to 828 of the family's 1533-position model. The record is from RNAcentral.
UGGGGAAUAUUGCACAAUGGGCGCAAGCCUGAUGCAGCCAUGCCGCGUGUGUGAAGAAGGCCUUCGGGUUGUAAAGCACUUUCAGCGAGGAGGAAGGUGGUGAACUUAAUACGUUCAUCAAUUGACGUUACUCGCAGAAGAAGCACCGGCUAACUCCGUGCCAGCAGCCGCGGUAAUACGGAGGGUGCAAGCGUUAAUCGGAAUUACUGGGCGUAAAGCGCACGCAGGCGGUUUGUUAAGUCAGAUGUGAAAUCCCCGGGCUCAACCUGGGAACUGCAUUUGAAACUGGCAAGCUAGAGUCUCGUAGAGGGGGGUAGAAUUCCAGGUGUAGCGGUGAAAUGCGUAGAGAUCUGGAGGAAUACCGGUGGCGAAGGCGGCCCCCCUGGACGAAGACUGACGCUCAGGUGCGAAAGCGUGGAGAGCAAACAGGAUUAGAUACCCUGGUAGUCCACGCUGUAAAACGAUGUCGAUUUGGAGGUUGUG